This 23-nucleotide small nuclear RNA is filed under the name Arabidopsis thaliana (thale cress). Its description in RNAcentral is "snRNA_08204". The record is from RNAcentral. Lineage: Eukaryota; Viridiplantae; Streptophyta; Magnoliopsida; Brassicales; Brassicaceae.
AUCCAUAAAUUAAUUAAUUUUCU